This is a long non-coding RNA of Scophthalmus maximus (turbot), 739 nucleotides long. RefSeq lists it as uncharacterized. The transcript has 3 exons. The record is from RefSeq and is a predicted model, not a curated record. NCBI's taxonomy places the organism in Eukaryota, Metazoa, Chordata, Actinopteri, Pleuronectiformes, Scophthalmidae.
GCCGCCAUGGUCCGCGUCCCCCUCGGUGGUCCGCGUCCCCCUCCUCCUCCUCCCUCCGCCGCGGCAGCGAGCUCACCUCGCCGACAUGGGUGUGUUGGUGUCGGUCGUGCUCGGUGCUCGGUGCUCGGUGCUGAACGGAAAACGCUCGUGGCCCGCAAUGGAGACAGCCUGACUGCGCAGGCGGCCCGGCAGAUGCACUGGAGAUAAGUUUGUGUGCGUAAGCUGGGCCGCGACCCUACGCGGCAGGACAUUGACCAGAUCCUGUCAGUGAGAGGGCAAGAGCCGGCCCAGCACCUCCUCUGCUCAUUUGCUUACAUGCUGCCCGCCCCCCUCCCCAUCCUACUGUCUCCAUGCGUGGCUUCCCCAGCAGCUCAGCAGGGGCCAGAGGUGAGGACAGGCCCCCUGGAGCCAAGACUUUCCUCUGGGAUGCAAGGCUCCAGCCCUCCUCGACACCCCCUGUAUGCGCCAUAGAGACAAGCGACUCCUCCGCGCAGAGCAAUAAGAAGCUGAACCCAGCCUCUCAGUGCUGGGAGGUUAAACCUAGUUUGUCAUCAGAUUCCAGUGGGAGGGAUGAAGACUUUGCGCAAAGAGCAACCGGGCCUGUGCACAGGCAACAUCUGACUCCUUCUGACACCUCUUCUUGGAAAUCUCAUCAGAAAUUCCCUUUGAAACCAGAGGCUUCAUGUCUUCCGAUACACUUACUCCUCUUCUUGUUGCUUGGUUUACAGAAAAAUAAAUA